AUGUGCUGCACUUGGCUGCAUUUUGAAAGCAUGUUUAGAAGCAUCUUUUGGCCUUUACUCCUCUUCUUUGCUAUCUGCCGCUUGCUUGCUGGAGUGGAGAGGAUGAACUAUGCUGAGGGCUAUGAAGCUGAAGUACCAUGGAAAGCAGAAGGUGCUAUAAGCCCUUUCCCUGGAGAGUGUAACAACACAAUUCUUGCAUAUUCAGGUGAAGUCGUGGCUUAUGAAAGAAACCAUCUGUGUAAGAAUGUGAAGGUGCAAGAAGAAAUGAAUAAUGACCGUUCUUGUUUUAAGAUUAGUUGCAUGGCAGAACCAGUGUGAACCAGGCAGAAAGGUAAGAAGGACACCAGAAGGAGUAUUCAUGUUUGCUACAUGUGAAAUUUACUCUCUCUGACAUGAAGCUGCCAGCUAUAACUAUCAACCUGGCCACGUCAUUUCAUGUAGACCAGUCCCAUGUCAGAAAGAGAUUUCAUACUCAGCAAUAUCUGGCCCUUGAUUGAUAUACGGUUUUGUUGGCAUCAAAUUGGCUGCCCUCUUUUUUGGCAACUACACAGGUUCCGCAGGUGGCUGGGUGUCUGCCCAUGGACAUGGUUCUUUCAGAUGUCACUUUUAUUCUCUUCACCUCAAGAUACCAUGAAUUGGAUCCAAUUAUAUGUAAAUAAGUUUUCACAUAGAUGCCACAUUAGUUUCUUCUACUCUUUGCAGAUCUGAUAUGCCUAUCUUUUUCACACAUGAAACAAAGCACUUAAAUAAAG
Molecule: long non-coding RNA, 752 nt
Filed under: Anas platyrhynchos platyrhynchos (common mallard)
Lineage: Eukaryota; Metazoa; Chordata; Aves; Anseriformes; Anatidae
Description: lncRNA (ENSAPLG00000019689.1)
Source: RNAcentral